GACGAACGCUGGCGGCGUGCUUAACACAUGCAAGUCGAACGGAAAGGCCCUGCUUUUGUGGGGUGCUCGAGUGGCGAACGGGUGAGUAACACGUGAGUAACCUGCCCUUGACUCUGGGAUAACUUCAGGAAACUGGGGCUAAUACCGGAUAGGAGCUCCUGCUGCAUGGUGGGGGUUGGAAAGUUUCGGCGGUUGGGGAUGGACUCGCGGCUUAUCAGCUUGUUGGUGGGGUAGUGGCUUACCAAGGCUUUGACGGGUAGCCGGCCUGAGAGGGUGACCGGCCACAUUGGGACUGAGAUACGGCCCAGACUCCUACGGGAGGCAGCAGUGGGGAAUAUUGCACAAUGGGCGGAAGCCUGAUGCAGCAACGCCGCGUGCGGGAUGACGGCCUUCGGGUUGUAAACCGCUUUCGCCUGUGACGAAGCGUGAGUGACGGUAAUGGGUAAAGAAGCACCAGCUAACUACGUG
RNAcentral lists this ribosomal RNA (468 nucleotides) under uncultured bacterium. RNAcentral describes it as "partial 16S ribosomal RNA". It matches the Rfam family "Bacterial small subunit ribosomal RNA", at positions 28 to 507 of the family's 1533-position model. The record is from RNAcentral.